UUGCAAACCUACUUGUAAUUAAAUGAAUGCUACGUAUGCUUGAUAUACCCUUUUUUUUUUUUUUUUUCUUCCUUUUUUCAGGACUGUAGUUAUUUCCAUUCCUCCCAUGUCUCCUCCUCUCUUCCUCAAUAAGCAGCUAUGGGGCAUAAUAUAAAUUGAGAUGUACAAUUCAACCUUUGCAACCUUGCAAAAACUUCCAAAAUUGGAUCUGGUGAAUGGUCUUGUAGAACUAAAAUCAGAGGCAUUUCAAUUGGCCAAAAAGCACCUCCAUACUAAAGUUUCAAGUUGGAGAAACCAACCCUUAAAAUCAUGUCCC
RNAcentral lists this long non-coding RNA (316 nucleotides) under Elaeis guineensis (African oil palm). RNAcentral's name for it is "long non-coding RNA (EGUI_LNC030916)". Lineage: Eukaryota; Viridiplantae; Streptophyta; Magnoliopsida; Arecales; Arecaceae. The record is from RNAcentral.